CAGUAGCCGCGGGAAUACAGAGGGUGCGAGCGUUAAUCGGAUUUACUGGGCGUAAAGCGUGCGUAGGCGGCUUUUUAAGUCGGAUGUGAAAUCCCUGAGCUUAACUUAGGAAUUGCAUUCGAUACUGGGAAGCUAGAGUAUGGGAGAGGAUGGUAGAAUUCCAGGUGUAGCAGUGAAAUGCGUAGAGAUCUGGAGGAAUACCGAUGGCGAAGGCAGCCAUCUGGCCUAACACUGACGCUGAGGUACGAAAGCAUGGGGAGCAAACAGGAUUAGAUACCCCCGUAGUCCCUGUCUCUUAUAC
RNAcentral lists this ribosomal RNA (301 nucleotides) under uncultured bacterium. RNAcentral describes it as "partial 16S ribosomal RNA". It matches the Rfam family "Bacterial small subunit ribosomal RNA", at positions 509 to 807 of the family's 1533-position model. The record is from RNAcentral.